UUAAGUUAUUAAGGGCGCACGGUGGAUGCCUUGGCACUAGAAGCCGAUGAAGGACGUUACUAACGACGAUAUGCUUUGGGGAGCUGUAAGUAAGCUUUGAUCCAGAGAUUUCCGAAUGGGGAAACCCAGCAUGAGUUAUGUCAUGUUAUCGAUAUGUGAAUACAUAGCAUAUCAGAAGGCACACCCGGAGAACUGAAACAUCUUAGUACCCGGAGGAAGAGAAAGAAAAUUCGAUUCCCUUAGUAGCGGCGAGCGAAACGGGAAGAGCCCAAACCAACAAGCUUGCUUGUUGGGGUUGUAGGACACUCUAUACGGAGUUACAAAGGACGACAUUAGACGAAUCAUCUGGAAAGAUGAAUCAAAGAAGGUAAUAAUCCUGUAGUCGAAAAUGUUGUCUCUCUUGAGUGGAUCCUGAGUACGACGGAGCACGUGAAAUUCCGUCGGAAUCUGGGAGGACCAUCUCCUAAGGCUAAAUACUCUCUAGUGACCGAUAGCGAACCAGUACCGUGAGGGAAAGGUGAAAAGCACCCCGGAAGGGGAGUGAAAUAGAACCUGAAACCGUGUGCUUACAAGUAGUCAGAGCCCGUUAAUGGGUGAUGGCGUGCCUUUUGUAGAAUGAACCGGCGAGUUACGAUUUGAUGCAAGGUUAAGCAGUAAAUGUGGAGCCGUAGCGAAAGCGAGUCUGAAUAGGGCGUUUAGUAUUUGGUCGUAGACCCGAAACCAGGUGAUCUACCCUUGGUCAGGUUGAAGUUCAGGUAACACUGAAUGGAGGACCGAACCGACUUACGUUGAAAAGUGAGCGGAUGAACUGAGGGUAGCGGAGAAAUUCCAAUCGAACCUGGAGAUAGCUGGUUCUCUCCGAAAUAGCUUUAGGGCUAGCCUCAAGUGAUGAUUAUUGGAGGUAGAGCACUGUUUGGACGAGGGGCCCCUCUCGGGUUACCGAAUUCAGACAAACUCCGAAUGCCAAUUAAUUUAACUUGGGAGUCAGAACAUGGGUGAUAAGGUCCGUGUUCGAAAGGGAAACAGCCCAGACCACCAGCUAAGGUCCCAAAAUAUAUGUUAAGUGGAAAAGGAUGUGGCGUUGCCCAGACAACUAGGAUGUUGGCUUAGAAGCAGCCAUCAUUUAAAGAGUGCGUAAUAGCUCACUAGUCGAGUGACACUGCGCCGAAAAUGUACCGGGGCUAAACAUAUUACCGAAGCUGUGGAUUGUCCUUUGGACAAUGGUAGGAGAGCGUUCUAAGGGCGUUGAAGCAUGAUCGUAAGGACAUGUGGAGCGCUUAGAAGUGAGAAUGCCGGUGUGAGUAGCGAAAGACGGGUGAGAAUCCCGUCCACCGAUUGACUAAGGUUUCCAGAGGAAGGCUCGUCCGCUCUGGGUUAGUCGGGUCCUAAGCUGAGGCCGACAGGCGUAGGCGAUGGAUAACAGGUUGAUAUUCCUGUACCACCUAUAAUCGUUUUAAUCGAUGGGGGGACGCAGUAGGAUAGGCGAAGCGUGCGAUUGGAUUGCACGUCUAAGCAGUAAGGCUGAGUAUUAGGCAAAUCCGGUACUCAUUAAGGCUGAGCUGUGAUGGGGAGAAGACAUUGUGUCUUCGAGUCGUUGAUUUCACACUGCCGAGAAAAGCCUCUAGAUAGAAAAUAGGUGCCCGUACCGCAAACCGACACAGGUAGUCAAGAUGAGAAUUCUAAGGUGAGCGAGCGAACUCUCGUUAAGGAACUCGGCAAAAUGACCCCGUAACUUCGGGAGAAGGGGUGCUCUUUAGGGUUAACGCCCAGAAGAGCCGCAGUGAAUAGGCCCAAGCGACUGUUUAUCAAAAACACAGGUCUCUGCUAAACCGUAAGGUGAUGUAUAGGGGCUGACGCCUGCCCGGUGCUGGAAGGUUAAGAGGAGUGGUUAGCUUCUGCGAAGCUACGAAUCGAAGCCCCAGUAAACGGCGGCCGUAACUAUAACGGUCCUAAGGUAGCGAAAUUCCUUGUCGGGUAAGUUCCGACCCGCACGAAAGGCGUAACGAUUUGGGCACUGUCUCAACGAGAGACUCGGUGAAAUCAUAGUACCUGUGAAGAUGCAGGUUACCCGCGACAGGACGGAAAGACCCCGUGGAGCUUUACUGUAGCCUGAUAUUGAAAUUCGGCACAGCUUGUACAGGAUAGGUAGGAGCCUUUGAAACGUGAGCGCUAGCUUACGUGGAGGCGCUGGUGGGAUACUACCCUAGCUGUGUUGGCUUUCUAACCCGCACCACUUAUCGUGGUGGGAGACAGUGUCAGGCGGGCAGUUUGACUGGGGCGGUCGCCUCCUAAAAGGUAACGGAGGCGCUCAAAGGUUCCCUCAGAAUGGUUGGAAAUCAUUCAUAGAGUGUAAAGGCAUAAGGGAGCUUGACUGCGAGACCUACAAGUCGAGCAGGGUCGAAAGACGGACUUAGUGAUCCGGUGGUUCCGCAUGGAAGGGCCAUCGCUCAACGGAUAAAAGCUACCCCGGGGAUAACAGGCUUAUCUCCCCCAAGAGUUCACAUCGACGGGGAGGUUUGGCACCUCGAUGUCGGCUCAUCGCAUCCUGGGGCUGUAGUCGGUCCCAAGGGUUGGGCUGUUCGCCCAUUAAAGCGGUACGCGAGCUGGGUUCAGAACGUCGUGAGACAGUUCGGUCCCUAUCCGUCGUGGGCGUAGGAAAUUUGAGAGGAGCUGUCCUUAGUACGAGAGGACCGGGAUGGACAUACCUCUGGUGUACCAGUUGUCGUGCCAACGGCAUAGCUGGGUAGCUAUGUGUGGACGGGAUAAGUGCUGAAAGCAUCUAAGCAUGAAGCCCCCCUCAAGAUGAGAUUUCCCAACUUCGGUUAUAAGAUCCCUCAAAGAUGAUGAGGUUAAUAGGUUCGAGGUGGAAGCAUGGUGACAUGUGGAGCUGACGAAUACUAAUCGAUCGAAGACUUAAUCAA
Molecule: ribosomal RNA, 2921 nt
Filed under: Staphylococcus aureus
Lineage: Bacteria; Bacillati; Bacillota; Bacilli; Caryophanales; Staphylococcaceae
Also listed under: 3 other names
Description: bacterial LSU rRNA
Rfam family: Bacterial large subunit ribosomal RNA
Source: RNAcentral